RNAcentral lists this ribosomal RNA (504 nucleotides) under uncultured bacterium. RNAcentral's name for it is "bacterial SSU rRNA". It matches the Rfam family "Bacterial small subunit ribosomal RNA", at positions 38 to 507 of the family's 1533-position model. The record is from RNAcentral.
GGCGGCGUGCCUAAUACAUGCAAGUCGAGCGCAGGAAACAAGUAGAUCCCUUCGGGGUGACGCUUGUGGAAUGAGCGGCGGACGGGUGAGUAACACGUGGGCAACCUACCUUGUAGACUGGGAUAACUCCGGGAAACCGGAGCUAAUACGGGAUGAUCAUUUGAAUCGCAUGAUUGAAAUGUAAAAGUGGGGAGUAAAUCCUCACACUAUGAGAUGGGCCCGCGGCGCAUUAGCUAGUUGGUAAGGUAAUGGCUUACCAAGGCAACGAUGCGUAGCCGACCUGAGAGGGUGAUCGGCCACACUGGAACUGAGACACGGUCCAGACUCCUACGGGAGGCAGCAGUAGGGAAUCAUCCGCAAUGGGCGAAAGCCUGACGGUGCAACGCCGCGUGAACGAUGAAGGUUUUCGGAUCGUAAAGUUCUGUUAUGAGGGAAGAACAAGUGCCGUUCGAAUAGGGCGGCACCUUGACGGUACCUCACGAGAAAGCCCCGGCUAACUACGUG